UCCUCCCCUGAACGCACCAUUCCGCUCUGCUUCUCCGCCCCCGGUUUCCCACAAAUCAGCUGUUUGCGCAGGAAGCCUGGGAGGGCAGAGAAGCAGGCGGCAGCGGUCAUAUAAGCCCUAUCUUACUAGAAUACUACUACAAUUUAAAGUUGUGAUAUUCAGAUUGUUUAGGACAUAAAUACUGUUACGUGAUAUAUCCCCAUAUGGGCCCCAAUCUUGCAAACACAUGAUAUGCUUAAAUUUUAAGCAUGCAAGUAGUCACUUUAGAUGUUUUUGAAAAUUUUACCUAAAGUCACUUAGAAGCCUCAGUCCCACUGACUUUAAAUAGGAUGGAGGAGCCUAAGUAACUCACGAGCAGAGCUAGUCAGAAAUUUUCAGUAAAGGUCGAGCCACUGGACCAAAAUAUUUUCUUAAAUCUGCUGCAGAUUUGGCAAAACUUUUAUAACACACAGCUAGAGCUGGAUCUCUGGGGGCUGUUAGGCUCCCUUCUCCUUAGCAGGGACCAAACUUGCUGGGGCUCCCAUGGCUGGCUAGGCUCCUCCUUCUGUGGCUCAUCUUAGGUGCUUUUGAUAACUUCACCUUUGACUUGAGCAAGUUAACCAUGUAAGUAUAUGUGUUUUAAGGAUGAAGAUCAUGUAUAACGAUAUCUACCAUUUAUUUCAAUCAAAGUGACAGGAAUGGACUUGGUAGAGAAAAGUAAAAAGACACUGUUUUAUAUUAGAACCUGGAAUUAAUACUCUGAUCUCAUUGUGCUAGAAGCAUUACUUUUGAAGCUGAGAACUGAACUAUGUCACCAGAUAAACAAGUAUGCUAUUCUUAUUUAUUUUCAAAUGUUCACCUUGUUCAUCUCGCUUUAUCAUGAUAAAAUAUUAAUAUUCCUAUAUACAGGAAAUAUACAAUCUCUCCGUUGCUUGGAACAUUUAAAAUUGAUCUUAGCAGUUAAAGUGCUCUAUUUUUAAAUAUGAUAUUUCUUCUUUUAAUUACUUCUUGCAUUUAACAUUUACAGACCCUACUAAUUUCCAGUAUUAGUUGGGAGAGUGAAGAACAUAAAUUCCCUGUGAAUAAAGUACUUUUAAAAUUAUGCAUGUUUCAAUAUGAGCUAGCUACAAAGAUUUUACAGAAUUCAUGUAGAAAGUUGCUGGGCAUAGCAAGAGAAUUCAUAUGGUAAAUGACAUCCCUAGCAGAACAUGCAUUUAAAAGCAACAAAAUAAUAAGCAAAAACAAUGCUGUAUCUGGGACUAAAUUCCCUACCAAUGCUGAUCAAGAAGCAUUACUGUUGUAGCGGAUUGUUCCCUGCUAUGCAGGGAUUUGCCCAUUAACAUUUCAUUGAAAACAGUGGAAUGCAAGGCUGGUAGCCACAUUUAACAACACAGCAGGUGUAUUCUGCCAAAACAUUCCUGGAAUGUUCAGAAGCAACAAAGCUAUUAAUCCCAGUGCCCUAGGCCUUCACUAGAAAUAAAAUAUAAAUUUUUAAUAGUGAGGGUAGUUAAUAAUUGGAACAAUUUACCAAAGAUUGUAGUGGAUUCUCCAUCAUUGGAAAUCAUAAAAUCAAGAUUGGAUGUUUUGCUGAAAAAUACACUUCCGUUCAAACAGGGAUUAUUUUGUUGCCUCGUUAUGUGUGCGAGUGCUGGGGACAUACUACAUAAUCUCAGUGGUCCCUUCUGGCUUCAGAAUCUAUACAUUAAUUUUAGUUACAUUAGGGAUGGCAUAUUACUCUAGUACUGCUACACUCCCUGCCUUUUUUUUUUUUAAAUUUUCUUUAUUUUUAAACUUUGUUGUAUGGGGAACUUUCUGUUCAUGAAAGAGGCUGGCCUGAAAAGUCCACUGAACAUGUAUGACACUUGCAGAGCAGUGCUUCAAGCCUGACCUGGACAGGACUGCUUUUAAGGCUACAUCUACAUUGAUAUCCAGGGGUGUAAUUUGCAGCUCACGUAGAUGUACCAGCACUAGCUGUAAUAUAGCUAAAAUAGCAGUGAGGACUUGGUGGCAUGAGCUUCAGUGCAGGCUGUACAAGCCCACCUGGCCCCACUGGGUACGUACUCGCAUUGGUAGCCCACCUGAAACUUGCACUGGUGUGUCCUCACUGCUCAUUUUAGCAAGCUAGUUAGAUUACACCUAGCAUAGGUGCAUCUGCACGAACUGCAGAGUAGGUUCAGUCCAGUCUCUAUGCCUAGUCAAUCCUUACUGAGCCUUAACAGCACCAAAAAAGCUAAUGUUAAAAAAAGUUAUAUAAUACAUAGGUGGGGAAAGAGUGUCUGUACAUCUGGUUAUAAUGCUUAGAUUAUCCACAAAUACAAAAUUAUUUUUUUAAAAGUCAUAUGAUACAUAGAGUACAUGAUCAGCAAUAACCCAGAUUUAGGUGAAUAAUAUCUCAACUGUAUUGUUAAAAUCUAGAGUCCGAAUACUCGGGUACAUCACUCAUGAAAAGUUGUGCAGAGAUUUGGU
Dermochelys coriacea (leatherback sea turtle) is the source of this 2445-nucleotide long non-coding RNA. RefSeq lists it as uncharacterized. The record is from RefSeq and is a predicted model, not a curated record. NCBI's taxonomy places the organism in Eukaryota, Metazoa, Chordata, Testudines, Dermochelyidae. The transcript has 2 exons.